UACACACGCUCACUUUUCCAACCUCCUAUACAAACUGUGCGGUCCUUGAGGCUUAGGAUAGACUCCGCAGAUGCGUUCAGCUUAUACUGAGAAUGCGGGAGCACAUCAUGACAAGAGGCUUGUGAACCUUGAAUAUUAUAGGACGCAGGAACACAUGACAGGAGGCUUGUGGUUACAGUGACACACGGCGACGUCCUAAUGCUGCUGCUGCUGUUGGUGCUGAUCCUCCUCCUCCAUUCUGCCCAAGCGGUUCCCGCAACACACGUCACCGCUCUAUUUUCACCUUCAAAUUUUAACUAAAUAAAGCAAAAAUCAGCAUAUGUUAA
Molecule: long non-coding RNA, 326 nt
Organism: Portunus trituberculatus (swimming crab)
Lineage: Eukaryota; Metazoa; Arthropoda; Malacostraca; Decapoda; Portunidae
Exons: 3
Source: RefSeq, a predicted model, not a curated record